Molecule: unclassified non-coding RNA, 266 nt
Filed under: Hevea brasiliensis (rubber tree)
Lineage: Eukaryota; Viridiplantae; Streptophyta; Magnoliopsida; Malpighiales; Euphorbiaceae
Source: RNAcentral
GUAAUUAGCUCUUGGUUGACAAUCCAAUCGUUUCUUCAAAUCAAAGCUCACUCUCUAAUCUUCAACUUCAUCCAUCUCAAUUUCUUCAAUAAAAUCCAAAAAAUUCUCAAUCUACUGAGUCUGCCCCUCAAUUAAUUCCAUGGCAGGCUCAGUUUCCUUCUUCGUUUUUCUAUCUUUACUCCUUUUUUCAAGUAUCUGUGUUGAAUCCGAUGGAGAAGGGUACAUAUCAUUGGAUAUAUCAAAUAAAGGUCUUGAUUUUAUGAAGG